UAGAUGUCUUAGAGAAUUCUUAAUCUUUGGGUUCUUCAAUUUACAUGUUCUCAAUGCUAGAAUAGGAUUGAUCACCCUGUUUUAGAACUUAGGCUUUUAUUUUUUCCAGAGAUGUUCGAUAAAAUGUCUGAAUGAAUGUAAAUUGAGCAUUGUAUUUCUAACCUGCGAGAGUUGAUGUUAGAAUGUCUUGUGAACCAAAUGAGCAUGUUUGAUAAUGCGAAUUUGGCUAGGAAAUUACAAAUGAGAGUUUAGUAAUUGAAUAGUUGAAUUUAGUGAUUAAUGUCUUGAGAGAGAAUUAGUCUAAACUUGUGUUCAUGUUUAAGAACGGUUCUUCAUGCUUGAAUUUCUUAUUGCUUUUAUUCGUUAUUCAUUGAUUCUCUGAAAAU
This 386-nucleotide long non-coding RNA is filed under the name Capsella grandiflora. Its description in RNAcentral is "long non-coding RNA (CGRA_LNC001074)". The record is from RNAcentral. Lineage: Eukaryota; Viridiplantae; Streptophyta; Magnoliopsida; Brassicales; Brassicaceae.